This 317-nucleotide unclassified non-coding RNA is filed under the name Hevea brasiliensis (rubber tree). The record is from RNAcentral. Lineage: Eukaryota; Viridiplantae; Streptophyta; Magnoliopsida; Malpighiales; Euphorbiaceae.
CAAGUUUGUCACAUUGUCACAAGUAGAACUAUUUCAAUUCCAUAUUGUCCAGUUAACUUCCAAUUCUUAAACCCAAAGUAUAGAGCAGCUACAACUACAAAUCCCCAACCCUAAUAGGUUAGCCACUGGUAACUGUUCAGCUGGCCCUCGCUCGCAUUAAUCACAAUGCUGAUAAUAGAAACACAUCAACAAAGAUGUUAUACAUGAUGGUUCAAGCACAAACACCUAAUUACUAUUGAGGCACCAUAUUCACCAAAAGAACACGGUGAUUUGCACAAGCAAUUUCUUUCAAAGAGAUGUUUAAGUGCAAGGAGAAG